AUGCUCACAAAGCCAGCAAAUGACCUUCCCAUCUUGCCAACAGAGCAGCAGGCGUUUCUCCCCAUGGAGGUCCCACUGAUCUGCCUGUGGGGUCAGGGUCACGUCCCCGAGCCUCUCUACUAUGUUGGCCACAUGUUGACUGGGCCUCAAGUUUUCAAUAUGCAAGGCUUCAAGGCAGGAGUGGUGGAGCACACCUGUAAUACCAGCACUUGGGAUGCUGUGGCAGGAGGAUCUUUUUGAGUUCGAGACCAGCCUGGGCUCCAAAGUGAGCUCAAGGCCAGCCUGAAGUGCAUGGUGAAACCCUGUCUCAGAAAGGGAAAGAAAGAAAGAUUGAAAGAAAGAAAGAAAGAAAGAAAGAAAGAAAGAAAGAAAGAAAGAAAAACUUCAAAUCCCCCAAGAAAAUGCAGCUUUUUCUUCGAAAGUCUUCUGAGUGCUUAACACAGCUUUGGACACCUGUGAGGUCGUGAGUCCGUGCAGAGGAGGGAACGGGUCUGCAGCGUGGCUCCAAAUUAAUUCACCAAGUAAUCAGCCAAGUGGGAUACAAAGUAAAGUAGCGUCAGCAGGGUGGGGUGGGCGGGGAAGAGACGCUCUGACCAAUGGGGCGCCCUGUGCAAGGCCGGCCUGUGAGCCCCUGGGUGAUCCUGGGAGUGGAACUUGUCAAAGAGACAGCCUCGCCCCAUUGUACUUCCCUGUUUCAGCCUACUGUGUAUGCCCUCGGCUCUGUUCUAAUUAGUAUAGCUUUAAAUUAUGUUUGAUUCUUAUUUUACUGGGAUAUUAUUCUCUUUAAUACCUUUUGCUCUGUGACCAUGUACUUUGUGACCUAA
RNAcentral lists this long non-coding RNA (824 nucleotides) under Chinchilla lanigera (long-tailed chinchilla). RNAcentral's name for it is "lncRNA (ENSCLAG00000024511.1)". Lineage: Eukaryota; Metazoa; Chordata; Mammalia; Rodentia; Chinchillidae. The record is from RNAcentral.